Molecule: ribosomal RNA, 425 nt
Filed under: uncultured bacterium
Lineage: Bacteria
Description: bacterial SSU rRNA
Rfam family: Bacterial small subunit ribosomal RNA
Source: RNAcentral
GGGGAAUAUUGGACAAUGGGCGCAAGCCUGAUCCAGCCAUGCCGCGUGUGUGAAGAAGGCCCUCGGGUUGUAAAGCACUUUCAGUGGGGAAGAAAGCCUGGUGGUUAAUACCCGUCGGGAAGGACAUCACCCACAGAAGAAGCACCGGCUAACUCCGUGCCAGCAGCCGCGGUAAUACGGAGGGUGCGAGCGUUAAUCGGAAUUACUGGGCGUAAAGCGCGCGUAGGUGGCUUGAUAAGCCGGUUGUGAAAGCCCCGGGCUCAACCUGGGAACGGCAUCCGGAACUGUCAGGCUAGAGUGCAGGAGAGGAAGGUAGAAUUCCCGGUGUAGCGGUGAAAUGCGUAGAGAUCGGGAGGAAUACCAGUGGCGAAGGCGGCCACCUGGACAGGUACUGACGCUGAGGUGCGAAAGUGUGGGGAGCAAAC